Molecule: ribosomal RNA, 497 nt
Filed under: uncultured bacterium
Lineage: Bacteria
Description: partial 16S ribosomal RNA
Rfam family: Bacterial small subunit ribosomal RNA
Source: RNAcentral
GAUGAACGCUGGCGGCGUGCCUAAUACAUGCAAGUCGAGCGAACAGACGAGGAGCUUGCUCCUCUGACGUUAGCGGCGGACGGGUGAGUAACACGUGGAUAACCUACCUAUAAGACUGGGAUAACUUCGGGAAACCGGAGCUAAUACCGGAUAAUAUAUUGAACCGCAUGGUUCAAUAGUGAAAGACGGUUUUGCUGUCACUUAUAGAUGGAUCCGCGCCGCAUUAGCUAGUUGGUAAGGUAACGGCUUACCAAGGCAACGAUGCGUAGCCGAUCUGAGAGGGUGAUCGGCCACACUGGAACUGAGACACGGUCCAGACUCCUACGGGAGGCAGCAGUAGGGAAUCUUCCGCAAUGGGCGAAAGCCUGACGGAGCAACGCCGCGUGAGUGAUGAAGGUCUUCGGAUCGUAAAACUCUGUUAUUAGGGAAAAACAAAUGUGUAAGUAACUAUGCACGUCUUGACGGUACCUAAUCAGAAAGCCACGGCUAACUACGUG